RNAcentral lists this non-coding RNA (28 nucleotides) under Homo sapiens (human). Lineage: Eukaryota; Metazoa; Chordata; Mammalia; Primates; Hominidae. The record is from RNAcentral.
CGAUUGAAGGUGAGAAUGGAAGUAUCUU